AUUGAACGCUGGCGGCAUGCCUUACACAUGCAAGUCGAACGGCAGCGGACCUUCGGGUGCCGGCGAGUGGCGAACGGGUGAGUAAUAUAUCGGAACGUACCUUUCAGUGGGGGAUAACGUAGCGAAAGUUACGCUAAUACCGCAUAUUCUGUGAGCAGGAAAGCAGGGGAUCGCAAGACCUUGCGCUGAUUGAGCGGCCGAUAUCAGAUUAGCUAGUUGGUGAGGUAAAGGCUCACCAAGGCGACGAUCUGUAGCGGGUCUGAGAGGAUGAUCCGCCACACUGGAACUGAGACACGGUCCAGACUCCUACGGGAGGCAGCAGUGGGGAAUUUUGGACAAUGGGCGCAAGCCUGAUCCAGUCAUGCCGCGUGAGUGAAGAAGGCC
This 384-nucleotide ribosomal RNA is filed under the name uncultured bacterium. RNAcentral describes it as "bacterial SSU rRNA". It matches the Rfam family "Bacterial small subunit ribosomal RNA", at positions 30 to 416 of the family's 1533-position model. The record is from RNAcentral.